AGAGAGUGCUUCCUGAAUAUGUGC
RNAcentral lists this non-coding RNA (24 nucleotides) under Gossypium hirsutum (cotton). The record is from RNAcentral. Lineage: Eukaryota; Viridiplantae; Streptophyta; Magnoliopsida; Malvales; Malvaceae.